AUGCAUCUCAUCAAACUCCAAAAGAAUAUUAGAAAAAUGAGCUCUUAAUUUACUAGGUGCCUCAAGAGGAUGAUGAAGUCCUGGUCUUGUAUCGAUACAGAAUCCGCUUCUUCUUAAAUGCUCCAUUUUCAAUGGUAAUCACUACCUUUCCAGGUUCUUUAUUAGUGAAAGAAUUGCGAACGGUACCAUCCUGCCAAGUUAUCCUCCUUCCCUUUUGAACGAUUAUGGUAUAUGAACCCUCAUCAGUGGGGACAAAUUCCUCCUUGUAGUUCACUUCCCAACCAGACACUGUCAGGUCCCAUAUUAAAGUGUUUCCUGCCUCUGGUGCGGGGAUCUCGAUAGUUUCUUGUGAUCCUGCCUUCACAAUAGCCUCUUUUGCAUCAUCUUCAACUGAGAAUUCAGAAUCAUUCUCUCGUUUAAGCCCACCAUACUGGACUGGAAUUUGGGACGCAGCAAUGUACUUGAGCAGGGUGUCUGUGACCUUGGCUGAGCGAGCGUAGACGAAUUUGUUCUUGGUUCUUUGAGAUAAGGAAGGCGAGAAGAGAGCACUAUACGCGUAAUACCAAAAGGGAACAUUGAUAAAGAUAUUUUUUGCAACAAAUUCAGGAUAAUUGUCCUGAAGAAGUUCAACUCCUUUCUUUGUUGCAUUCCGGAGCUCUUUCUUAGUUGGUAAAGGAGUGUUCUUGAGAUCAUUAAUUUGCAGAAUUGCAGACGCACCACCGGGCUUAAAAUCCAGCUUUUGAAUACCCUUCUCCAUCAGUUGAAUCCUCCCCCUCAUAAAUUUCACGCGUUUCUCUUCAAAUGCUUUCCCAUAUAGCUCAUCAUUGCCAAACACGGCAAAAAUAUUGAAACAUAUUGGGUGGCCAUCGCGAUCAUUGCCUUGCAUGUAAGCCAUGGAGCCAAGAUUAGCCUCAAUAUCCGCUUCCAAGAUUGAAUCGAUCUUGUUUUCUUUUCUCCAUUUGAGAAUGUUCCUCAACAUCUCAAAAGCAUCAGUGGUCUUGAACUCUCUAGCCCUUAACAACUUCAAUAGUACUGUAUCGGUUCUGUCAUCUCCUUUGCUGGGCAAUAAUGGAACUCCCCAAAGUGAAAUAUCUUUGUCUACAGUUUGAUCUGCGACACCUUCUUGCUGGGCGUUUUCUUUUGCUUCUUCUUCUUCUUCCUUUUCAGAAGUCUGCUCCUCCUUUUCCACUUGUUUAUCAGUAAUGUCUUCCUUGCUUUCUUUUGCAGCUAUUUCUUUUUCUUCGGUGUUCGUUUUCGCAGGAGUUUCUUCUUCUUUCCCUUCAUUUGAUGGAGUCGCCCCUUCUCUUUCCCCUUCUACCUGCUUUGGUUGUUCCUUCUUUUCAGAAUCAUCUUCUUUCUUGUCUGUUCCGGUUGAUUUUUCCUUCUGAACCUUUUCUUCUCCAUCUUUUGUCGAUGAUAUUUCCUUUUCUUGCUGUUUCUUCUCUUGAAAAAGUUCAUUUUUAAGGAUCGCUUCUUCAAUCUUGGAUCUCAGCUCAGACAAUGCCUUCUUUUCAUGCUCUUUCAAAUCAGAGAGGAGGUCGCUCUGUUCCCUGAAUGAAGAACUCUUCUGAAUUCCACUUGGUGAUGUAUCAUUCUCUUCUUUAUCUGCUACCUUUCUCUCAUCAACCACCGCAAUCUCCUUUGUUUUUUGCUCAUCUUCGUGCUUUGAUUCACUCAUCUUCUCUUCAUCUUUGGCAUUCUCUGUUUCCAUAGCUUUCUUACUGACACACUUAGAUGGUUCUUUCUCUUGUGGAAUUUGGGCAGUGUUUUCUUCCAUCUGUGCCUCUUGAGUGGCCAUAAUAAAAAAAAAAAAAAUUUGGUGUAAGAUGCUGAGG
Molecule: unclassified non-coding RNA, 1835 nt
Filed under: Hevea brasiliensis (rubber tree)
Lineage: Eukaryota; Viridiplantae; Streptophyta; Magnoliopsida; Malpighiales; Euphorbiaceae
Source: RNAcentral